GAUGAACGCUGGCGGCGUGCCUAACACAUGCAAGUCGAACGAAGCAAUUAAAAUGAAGUUUUCGGAUGGAUUUUUGAUUGACUGAGUGGCGGACGGGUGAGUAACGCGUGGAUAACCUGCCUCACACUGGGGGAUAACAGUUAGAAAUGACUGCUAAUACCGCAUAAGCGCACAGUACCGCAUGGUACGGUGUGAAAAACUCCGGUGGUGUGAGAUGGAUCCGCGUCUGAUUAGCCAGUUGGCGGGGUAACGGCCCACCAAAGCGACGAUCAGUAGCCGACCUGAGAGGGUGACCGGCCACAUUGGGACUGAGACACGGCCCAA
Molecule: ribosomal RNA, 324 nt
Filed under: uncultured bacterium
Lineage: Bacteria
Description: bacterial SSU rRNA
Rfam family: Bacterial small subunit ribosomal RNA
Source: RNAcentral